Molecule: ribosomal RNA, 253 nt
Filed under: uncultured bacterium
Lineage: Bacteria
Description: partial 16S ribosomal RNA
Rfam family: Bacterial small subunit ribosomal RNA
Source: RNAcentral
UACAGAGGGUCCAAGCGUUGAUCGGAAUCACUGGGCUGAAAGGGUGCGUAGGCGGCGCUGCAAGUGUCUUGUGAAAUCCCUCGGCUCAACCGGGGAAUUGCUCGGCAGACUGCAGCGCUUGAGCUCUACAGAGGUCGGCGGAACGAUAGGUGGAGCGGUGAAAUGCGUAGAUAUCUAUCGGAACGCCGAAGGUGAAGGCAGGCGCCUGGGUCGACGCUGACGCUGAGGCACGAAAUCGUGGUGUGCAUACGGG